This 245-nucleotide ribosomal RNA is filed under the name uncultured bacterium. Its description in RNAcentral is "partial small subunit ribosomal RNA". It matches the Rfam family "Bacterial small subunit ribosomal RNA", at positions 26 to 285 of the family's 1533-position model. The record is from RNAcentral.
AGAAUCAACGCUGGCGGCGUGCCUAACACAUGCAAGUCGAACGAGAAAGUGGAGCAAUCCAUGAGUAAAGUGGCGCACGGGUGAGUAACACGUGACUAACCUACCCUUGAGUGGGGGAUAACCUAGAGAAAUCUGGGCUAAUACCGCAUAAUACCCUCGGGUCAAAGGAGCAAUUCGCUUAAGGAGGGGGUCGCGGCCGAUUAGUUAGUUGGCGGGGUAAUGGCCCACCAAGACUAUGAUCGGUA